CCAGACUCCUACGGGAGGCAGCAGUGGGGGAUAUUGCACAAUGGGGGAAACCCUGAUGCAGCGACGCCGCGUGGGUGAAGAAGUAUUUCGGUAUGUAAAGCCCUAUCAGCAGGGAAGAAAGAAGACGGUACCUGACUAAGAAGCCCCGGCUAACUACGUGCCAGCAGCCGCGGUAAUACGUAGGGGGCGAGCGUUAUCCGGAUUCACUGGGUGUAAAGGGAGCGUAGACGGCCGUGCAAGCCAGGAGUGAAAGCCCGGGGCCCAACCCCGGGACUGCUCUUGGAACUGUGCGGCUGGAGUGCGGGAGGGGCAGGCGGAAUUCCUGGUGUAGCGGUGAAAUGCGUAGAUAUUAGGAGGAACACCAGUGGCGAAGGCGGCUUACUGGACUGUAACUGACGUUGAGGCUCGAAAGCGUGGGGAGCAAACAGGAUUAGAUACCCGUGUAAA
Molecule: ribosomal RNA, 447 nt
Filed under: uncultured bacterium
Lineage: Bacteria
Description: bacterial SSU rRNA
Rfam family: Bacterial small subunit ribosomal RNA
Source: RNAcentral